RNAcentral lists this ribosomal RNA (497 nucleotides) under uncultured bacterium. Its description in RNAcentral is "partial 16S ribosomal RNA". It matches the Rfam family "Bacterial small subunit ribosomal RNA", at positions 28 to 507 of the family's 1533-position model. The record is from RNAcentral.
GAUGAACGCUGGCGGCGUGCCUAAUACAUGCAAGUCGAGCGAACAGACGAGGAGCUUGCUCCUCUGACGUUAGCGGCGGACGGGUGAGUAACACGUGGAUAACCUACCUAUAAGACUGGGAUAACUUCGGGAAACCGGAGCUAAUACCGGAUAAUAUAUUGAACCGCAUGGUUCAAUAGUGAAAGACGGUUUUGCUGUCACUUAUAGCUGGAUCCGCGCCGCAUUAGUUAGUUGGUAAGGUAACGGCUUACCAAGGCAACGAUUCGUAGCCGACCUGAGAGGAUGAUCAGCCACACUGGAACUGAGACACGGUCCAGACUCCUACGGGAGGCAGCAGUAGGGAAUCUUCCGCAAUGGGCGAAAGCCUGACGGAGCAACGCCGCGUGAGUGAUGAAGGUCUUCGGAUCGUAAAACUCUGUUAUUAGGGAAGAACAAAUGUGUAAGUAACUAUGCACGUCUUGACGGUACCUAAUCAGAAAGCCACGGCUAACUACGUG